Molecule: long non-coding RNA, 18828 nt
Filed under: Medicago truncatula (barrel medic)
Lineage: Eukaryota; Viridiplantae; Streptophyta; Magnoliopsida; Fabales; Fabaceae
Description: long non-coding RNA (MTRU_LNC003966)
Rfam family: MIR5294 microRNA precursor family (bases 15775-15888)
Source: RNAcentral
AAUCGAUUACACUGUGCUUGUUAAUGGUGAGUAGGUUGGCCCUAUUAUUCCAGGGCGUGGUCUCCGACAAGGGGAUCCUCUUUCCCCCUAUUUGUUUAUUAUAUGUGCAGAGGGCUUAUCAACGCUUAUCAACGAUGCCGAGCGGAGAGGUGUUCUUACGGGAACCAAGGUUUGUCGCCAAGCACCUUCUGUUUCCCAUCUUUUGUUCGCUGAUGAUUGUUUUCUAUUUUUCAAAGCUAUUGAGGAGCAUGCUCAUGUAAUGAAAAAUAUAUUAUCCACUUACGAGUUAGCCUCGGGUCAAGCGAUCAGCUUGCCAAAAUCAGAGAUCUAUUGCAGCCGCAAUGUCCCUAGCGAUCUUAAAACUACUAUCACAGACAUCCUUGGCGUUCAAGUUGUUUUAGGUACAGGUAAAUAUCUGGGCCUACCUUCUAUGAUAGGCCGAGACAGCAAAGCUACGUUUACAUAUAUUAAGGAUUGCGUUUGGCAGAAAAUUCAUUCCUGGAGUGGUAAGUGUCUUUCGAAAGCGGGUCGUGAGGUAAUGAUAAAAAUCUGUUUUGUAAUCUAUUCCCACUUAUGUAAUGAGUAUUUUUCAGCUACCUAGUACUUUGAUUGACUCCAUAGAAAAGAUGAUGAACUCCUUUUGGUGGGGUCAUGGCAAAACGACCCAACGCGGGAUACAUUGGAUGAAUUGGGAGAAGCUGUCGGCACCAAAUAUUCAUGGAGGUAUGGGUUUUAAGGACCUCUCUGCUUUUAAUUUAGCUAUGUUGGGGAAACAGGGAUGGAAAUUUAUUACCAAAUCGGACUCUCUUGUUGCUCGCAUUUUCAAAGCUUGAUAUUUCCCUUCUGGUUCCUAUCUCACGGCUAUUGUUGGACAUAACCCGAGCUAUGUCUGGCGCAGUAUCAUGCGCGCUAGAUUUAUAAUGCGUGGGGGAGCACGGUGGAGCAUAGGAUAAGGUGCUACCAUACCCAUUCUCAACGAACCUUGGUUGUCUAAUGGGGAGUUUAUUAGUAGUGAUAUUCUAGGUGCUCAUUUUGUUCAUAAUUUUACUAUUAAUAGUCUGAUGAAUUUGCAUGACAAAAGCUGGAAUGAGAAGGUAGUUAGACAGGUAUUAAGCGUGGAUAUUGCAGAUAAAAUACUUCAUACGCCACUUAUUUCUCAAGUUGAGGAAGAUAGAAUUAUUUGGAAAGAAGAAAGGCACAAAAGCUACACUGUACGUAGUGCUUACAGGUUGUGUGUAACAGAUUUAAUUGAUUCUUCCUAUUUAUGGCGGCCGGGGUAUUGGUCUGGUAUUUGGAACCUUAAAGUUCCACCGAAGGUUAAGAAUUUAAUUUGGCGUAUGUGUCGAGGAUGUUUACCAACCCGUGUUCGUCUGUUGGAUUAAGACGUCGUUUGUCCCACUAACUGUUCUAGCUGUGACUCUACUCAUGAGGAUCUUUUGCAUGUUUUUUUCGAUUGUUCUUUUUCUUUACAGGUGUGGAACAGGACCGGCCUUUGGAGCUCGGUACAACACGCCCUCACUCAUACUACUUCAGCUAAGGACGCUAUUUUCUCUCUUUUGGAGACUUUGUCUGCUAAGUUAUCUCAACGUCUGUCAACUGUCAUAUGGAGCUUAUGGAAACACUGUAAUCUUAGAGUUUAGGACGAUGUUACAGAAACAAGUGUUGUGGUUGUAGAGCGUGCUAGGAACAUGAUUACGGAUUGGCAACUAGCGAAUUCUCCGGAUGUCCUUGCAUCCACUUCGCCUCCUUAGCAUGUCAUGGUCGCGCAUAUGGGGGCCUCCUCCUCACAGCAACACAACAUAAUAUUGUGGCAGCCCCCCACAUCAGGUAGAUAUAAGUGUAAUAUCGACGCAUCGUUUUCUUCUCUUCAUAAUCGCACAAGUAUUGGCAUUUGUAUUCGCGACUCGAAAGGUAGUUUUGUUCUGGCUAAGACUAAUGCAUACCCAUGUAUUGUUUCGGUGGAUGUUGGAGAAGCUUUAGGGCUGCACUCUGCUUUGCAAUGGUUGGGUGAUAUGCAGCUUGAUAAUGUGGACUUUGAAACAGAUUCUAAAGUAACAGUUGAUGCCUUCCUUUCUACACGGAACGACCUGUCUGAAUUUGGUUCUAUUAUUUCUUCUUGUCGUUCUUUGUUCCGUAAUUUAUAUUCUAACUCUAGGGUGGAGUUUGUUAGGCGACAAGCCAACGCGGUUGCUCAUGCUCUUGCACGAGAACUCACGUCUUUAGCUAGUCCCGCCGUUUAUUAUGAUAUACCCAAUUGUAUUGAGACUAUUAUGAUUAAUGAAAUGCUAUAAGCACAUUUUCCUAAAAAAAAAAAAAACAAGGCAUAUAUAUGUAGAUACUCAAUAAAUAUUUCUAUUUGCUUCUAAAAUUAAUACCUAAGUUAUAAAAUAUGCAUGAAUGAAAAACUACACAAUGUAAUCGGUUGUUUUGUAUUUAAUCAAUCUGCAUAUCAUCUUAACAAAUGAUAUGAUUCUUGGAGAUUUGUAUCACUUUUUCAAGUUAUAUGAUUCUCAUUGUAUGUGAUUGCUAUUUUUUUAAGUUAAAUUAGUCCACUUAAAUUGACAUCCACAAAAAUCAAAUACGAGACGAUGAGGAAUACACUUCAAGAUCUCAAAUCAGCACUAUCAGAUUAACUUAAAUGGGUUGUCAUUGUUAUUCUUAUACUAGUUAGUGUAUUGUUGAAACAAAACUAUUUAAACAUUCAUUUAUUACAUUUCAUGAAUGUGGGACUAUUGUAAAGAAGAAACAUAUGACAAGGAAAGAAAAAGAGAAUAAGAAAAUGGUGAGAGAUGAAAGGUUUAAAUGGUGAUCAUUGGAUUAAAACAAAGGAUUACGAUUAAAAAAUUGCACGUGAUAUCUUAAAUUCACACGCGUUUUAGUUAUGCAAGUUAUCACGUGCGCUUUUUAAUGAGUUGUUUAAUUUCAAUUAUGCAACAUUAGAUGCAAUUAGAAAAAUCAAAAUCUGUUGUUUCUAUACUAUAUAGAUUCAUACAUUAAUGUUGUAAGUUAUCUUAAUUAUAGUACCUCACAUGCAUGCAGAUAACUUCUAUCUCAGUUAUAGUACCUACCCCUUCAGUAAUUUUGUCCGUUCAGAUUUUUUAUGGAGAAAUAUUGUUCGUUCGGGGAAAUUUUGUGGAAAUUAUUCCUGCUCCUUAUGUUAAUCAAUUAAAUUGAUGUGGAAAUUUUAUGUCAAAUAUGUUGAUAACACAACUCAAACUACAUACACAUAAACCCAAACUUUAAGAUAAUGCUAUCCAGUACCACAGAGCACUGAUUAAGGAACAAUAAAAUUAAUUGAUUCUACUUAAUUUACUCUAAUUAAAGUGAAAAGUUGGUCAACUUAAUUAAAAUAGGAAUAGCUGUAUUCAAUACUCAUUAAACUCCAUCAAUAUGAUUUUGUAUUUCAUACUUUAAUUGGAUAUGUUUUAUCUUUGUAAUUGCAAAUUUAUUUUGGACUAUAUAAUGUUUGUCUUAUUUUAAUAAUUUCUACAACUUUUAAUUAAAAAAAAACAAUAGUUUUUUUCACCGUAAAAAAGUCAUGGAAAAAAAUUGGUUUGAAUAUAGACUUUUCAGUGAAUUGGCUUGCAAAAAAAAAAAUCACAGAAAAAAAAACUCGGUUGAAGUAAAAUUCACAAGAAGAGAAAAAAUUGUUAAGAUAUGAAAGGAAGCAAGGGGACUAAAAAAAAAGGAUUCUAAAAAGUUCACAAGAAAAAAAAUGAAAGGAAACGUAUCUUUCUAAAGAGUAUUAAAUGCAGCGUUUUUCUAUUUUAAUUAAGUUAAUAAACUUUUCAAUUUAAUUGAAUGAAAUUAAAUGAGACACUUUAAUAUUAUUGUUCCUUAACCAGUGCUCUGAGGGCACCGGUUAGCAACACCCAAAACUUUAUUCACACUACUUAAUUUGUUGAUAAAUUUACUAACCAAUGGCAACUUAUAAAAGGCUUUUCUGGAUGCAUGGAAAGAGACGUGUAGUGCAAUGCAUGAAAGCUCAACACUUAUAUGAAGGUAAACAUUCUACCUAUCUAUUUAUUAUAAUAAAUUACUUUUCCACGACAUGAAUUAUAAAUUAGAGUUGUGUUAUUUGUACAACUAAAAUUGAACAAUUAAUGUAACACCAUAUAACAUUGUGAGAAGCACGUAAAUCGAAAUCAAUCAAAAAAUAUUAAAAAAUAGCAAAUAAGUUGUUGGUUGUACAAACGAGAUGUUCACAUAUCAUUCCUCGUUGAAAUAAUAUCUAUUACUCCCUCCGUCCCAAAUUGUAUGUCACUUUAGAAAAAAUAUUUGUCCCAAAUUAUAUGUCGUUUUACAAUACCAAUGAAAAAUUAAUGUUACUUUUCCUAUUAUAUCCUUAACUAUUUAUUACUCUCUCUUCUUUCAAUUCCUUCAUUUAUCUUUCCUAUAUCAUUUAUUAAGGAUAAUUUUGUAAAACAACUCAUAAUAUCUCUUUCCCACACAAUAUUAAUUACAUUUCUUAAUAUAUGCGAAAUAUCCAAAACUUCAUACAAUUUGGGACAGAGAGAGUAUUUACUUGUUAUGUAAGAAGUCAUGAGAUUGAUCACAUUGACAAACUAUAACAGAGACUGUUAGAUUUUGCAGUCUCUACAACUACAACACCAUACUACAGUUCAACAGGAUUCAAACACAAUUUCACAUAUCUAAUUUGUGUUAAAUCCCAUAAUCUUGUAUCUAACUCAGUUAAUGAAAAUAAUUCGGGACAGAUUCGGGAAGCAUUCUCUCACGAGAUAUACCAUUUCCCUAUAAAAUAUUGCUUCCAAAAUGAUAUGAUGGAAUUUGAUAUUACUAUGAAAAGUAAAAAAUUGCGACAAAAACAAGUGGUGAAAAAAUUAAAUUCCUCUCUAAUUGUUUAGUGACAGAAUAGAGAGUUAUUUCAUGUUUUCCCUCUCUAAGUUUACGUUGGGAUUGAAUUAAAUAUACAAAUAUAUUAAUCAAUCCAUGAGAUUAUGAGCAAAUAUAUGUACUAAAUAAUAAAAAUCAAACUAUAGAACCAAGAAAUAUUGAAAUUUCAAACAAAAUUAAGGCUUACUACUAACAUCAUUAAUUCCAGUGUUAUUUUCCUAACAAUCGAUAUACAUGUUUUUUCCUUAUUCAAUUUUUUUUUUGUCCAAAUUAUUAUAAUUUAUAUGCAUUUUUGGAAUUGGUAGCUUGAAGGAACUAUCUUAGCCCCAAAAAAUAUUGAAGCAUGGAAAUGGCCAAAUAACAAUGAUAGAGGCUUAUGGAUCCGUUUUAUAGAGAUAAUUGCUAUUCCGUUGUGAGGCUAUAUCAUAAACUUAUUAAUGGACCUUUAGUUAUCCCAAUCAAACAUUAAAAGGUCCACUUUGUAAAUAAAAUCCAUUUGUAAUAGAAAAUUUGCUCUUUUGACACCUAUGCUUUGAUCGCAAAUACCUUGAAGUAACCAAAAAAUUUCAACGAUAAUUAAUUAUCGUUCGUUGCUGAGUAAUAGUUAAUUGAUGCUUGCUGCUGAACAGUUAUUUAUUGUUAUUCUGUUGUGAAGCUAUAUCAGAAACUUAUUAAUGGACCUUUUACUAUCCCAAUCAAACAUUAAAAGGCCCACUUUCUAAAUAAAAUCCAGUUGUAAUAGAAAAUUUGCUCUUUAGACACCUAUGCUUUGAUCGCAAAUACCUUGAAGUAACCAAAAUUUUCCAAUGACAAUUAAUUACCGUUCGUUGCUGAGUAAUAAUUAAUUGUCGCUCGCUGCUAAACGGUUAUUAAUUGCUAUUCUGUUAUGAGACUAUAUAAGAAACAAAAAUAACACCCAUCACAUAUUCAAAUUCAUUUAAUAAUAGAUUGUUAUAUUUAUGUUUGCGAUCAUUUUGCAAACCAUUUCAAAUCAUAUAUGUUUACCAAACCUACUAUUGAUGCGCUUUAGUUCAAGUCUUUAACCGUAGCUGAUGGCGGUCUAUCAUUAGAGCAUUUUUUGAAGAAGAGGUUAAACAGACAGUAUGAGACUGUGAUAAUUUCAAAAGUCCCGGACUUGACGAAAUCAAUUUUGGCUUCAUCAAGAAGUUCUUGGGUAGAUAAAACAACUAUUUUCAUGCUUUUUAUUGGUGAGUUUUAUAGGAAUGGGAAAUUGGUGAAGGGCAUUAAUUCCCCUUUCAUUAUAUUAAUCCCUAAGGUCGAGAAUCCUCAAGUUCUAUCUAUUUUUCAUCCAAUUUUUCUAAUCAGAUGUAUGUAUAAUGUGUUGACGAAAGUGUAGGCCAAUAGGUUGGCAAUGUGAUUGACACUCCCAUUUUUGAGUCUCAAUCAACCUUUGUUAAAGGCCAACAGAUUUCGGACGACAUUCUUAUUGCAAAUGAAGCAGUUGAUGACGCUCGCAAGUUAAAGAAGUAAUUAAUGUUGUUUAAAUUUGAUUUCGAGAAAGCCUAUGAUCCGGUUCAUUGUAAUUAUUUGAAAUCAGUUAUGAAGAAAAUGAAUUUUCCAACUACGUGGAGGAAGAGGGCUAUGGAAUGUGUGAUGUCGGCUUCAGCAUAUGUUUUGAGAAAUGACAGACCGACUGAUGAAUUUCAAUUAGAAAGAUAUCUUCGACAAGGUGUUCCUCUUUCUCUCUUUCUUUUUCUACUAGCAGCUAAGGGAUUGAAUGUCGUGAUGAAUGCUAUUGUUGAGGCCGAGUUGUUUUUCGGAUAUGAUAUUGGUCACGGUGUAUCAAUAAGCAUUACCUUUUUACAAUUUAUCGAUGAUACAAUUAUUAUGUACGAAAAAAGCUUGGUGAAUAUCAGAGCUUUGAAGGCAAAUCUUAUCCAGCCCGACCUAGCCUUUAUAGUAAAAGAUUCAGGCUUAGACUUUUUAAAUAGCCUAUUUACCUUAAUAGACCAAACUUGGGCAUAUAAAAAAGCCUAAGAUGCACCCUCUCUCUCUCCUCUCUCUUCUCUCCAUCUCUCUCAUAUUUAAAGCAAUUUUUUUUAAGGGCAAUACUUACAUAUUGUGCCUUAGACACAAUUCAUCAUGUUCCUCACAUAAUUUUAUCUAAACUACGUCGUUUAUACUAUCAGUAAAGCAGCGGUUGGUAAAUUAGAUUUGCCAGUUUUCUUCUAUUCCCGUUCAAAACAGGAUGAACAGUACUUUGAGAACUUUACCCAAGUAUUUUCCUUUUUUUAUUAUUAGUAAAUUUUAGAAGAUAAUUGCACCGAGUAGAAUACAAUCCAUUUUAUCCUCUUGGUUCCUUUAAUUCUAUCUACCCUUUUAACUGUGACCAUAUUCAUUCGAACCAUUAUUUUCUGCAAAAAUUUCACGUUUACAACAUACUUGUCAUUUUUUUUUUGGGUUAAUAGUGUUUUUCACCCCUGUAAUAUAUGUCAUUUCCGCUUUUCGCCCCUAUAAAAUUUUCAGUUUGAUUUGCACCCUUGUAAAAUUUUUAUUUUCCGGAAAACACCCUUAAUAGGCCAUUCUAAAACCAAAAUUUAUUGAAAAAAAAUUCUGAAAAUGGCCUAUUAGGGGUGUUUUCCAGAAAAUAAAAAUUUUACGAGGGUGCAAAUCAAACCGAAAAUUUUAUAGGGGCGAAAACUGAAAAUAACAUAUUACAGGGGUGAAAAACAUUAUUAACCCUUUUUUUUUACGAAGAUUGUCUCUAGAACUUUAUAAAAAUGGUCUACCUAGAAGAUGUGAGUGUAUGCCUUAAUAUAAAGUAGGCCUUUAAAUAGAAUUAUGAGCUUGAUAGACCUUCAAAAAGGCUAGGCUCAUACUUUAAAAAUUGGCCUAUUACACGCCAAAGGUCAGGCUCGAGCUUAAACUUUUUAUGAUAGGACAGACUCGUGCCUUAUAAACCCAACCCGACCUACUCUAUUCCCACCCCUAAUUGCAAUAUGUGAGAUCAUAAAAUUGGAUAUUUUCUGUUGUUACAAAAGAAAGAUAUUGUAAUUGACCGUCAAAUCUCAAAUCAAGAGUCAUGAUCAUUUUAAAUUAUUUGAUCCCAAAUCAUCGAUUAAGAUAAAUAAAACUAAUAUACUUAUUACCUCAACAUAUCUUGGUUGAUCCUUCCUUCAAAAAAAAAAAAUCUUGGUCCAUAAGAUCACACAAAUUUAGGAUCCAUGGUCCCUAAAAACGUGUGAAAAGAUCUUGCUUGUGUCAUAUCUUCGUCAAAAUAAACCAUAUAACUAUUCAAAAGCUGUAUCCCAAAUUAGAAGCCACUAGACAGUGACACAAAAGUCAUUCCUCUAAGAUAAAAGUGCUUCCUUUUCCUACCCCAUCUCCAUUCUUUGUUAGCAUUCCAAUGUAAUUUUCUUUAGAAUUUGGAAUCCUUUAUUUCAAGGGACGGUCAUAAAGGAAAGGCUAUGUUUGACAAAGAAUCUUCCCUACUAAGAAAAAUACAUGUCAAAAGCAAAAAAAGGAGAAUAAGACUAUAGUUUAGUAUUUCCUAACAUGAUAAAGUAAAAGAAAUUAAUUAUGGACUGUCUAAAGGUGCUGCUUGCAGCUCAAGAUAAGCAAACACCCUUUAAUGUCUUUUUCUUGCUCCUUUCACUUGUCUUCCCCUUCACAAUUUUAUAUUCUUUGCUAAAAAAAAAAAUUGGUGAAAAUAUUCUUAGCAAUAUUAACAUUUUACAACUAAGAAAUCCACUAUCUUAUUUUAUUUUUAUUCUAAAAUUAUAUAACUGAUAUUAUGAAUAAAUACUUUUUAUUUUGCUAUUGGCAUAAUGAUCAAUAUAGAGUCAAAUUUAGCUCAUUUGAGGGGUUUUAAUAGAACCUUAUUUUAUUUUGCAUUUUAAACUCUUAAUAUUGUUUUUGCACCACUAACCAAGAACUCAAAGCUUGAACCCCUAGAUCGUUAUUGGUACAUAUUUAAAUAAACACAUAUGAUGAGAGAAAAAUAUGGUGACCCGGGAACUCGGAAUUUCAUAUAAAAUGUUAUCAUAGCUAAACUAUUCAUGUUUCUAGAAUUAUAAUGAAUGUGUAAUUCUUUUUUUUUUUUCAUACAUUUUUUUGAGAAUUUUUUUUUCAUAAAUUUAAUCAACUAAUGAUUUGCUUAUCAUAAUUUUCUCAAUGCAACACAAGAUAUGAGACAAUUAAUUUUUUGUCUAUGUUUUUAUUUUUGACAUUAUAAAUUUCAAAGGCUCCUAAUUCUAAUUUAAAAAAGGUAAUUUUUAAAAAAUAUUAUUUGGAAUAUAUGACAACACCUAUAAAAUCCAAAAAAAAACUUCAUUAAGAAAAAUAUUAAGUGCAUGGACACUUUCCAAAUCAAUAGCCAAUAAGCACAUUCCUUUUCAUAUUCUAAAAUUAUAUAUAAGUGACUCCCCUUAACAUAAUGCAUCCUUCUUUCUCCACCAUUUUCAAACCCCUCAUACCCAUCACAACCCAAACCAACAGAAUCCCAAACUCCACCGUUCAUCUUUCUUAUACCAUGCAUGAAAUAAUACACAUAUAAACACAAAUCUUAAACAUACCAUUUCCACAAAACUACCAAAAUGGCCACUGUUAGAAAACUUAUAGUAGAAGUAAUAGAUGCACAAAACCUAGCUCCCAAGGACGGUCAUGGAACUUCAAGUCUGUACAUAGUAGUUGAUUUCUACGGUCAAAGAAGAAAAACUCGAACCUUGGUUCGCGACUUGAACCCGGUUUGGAAUGAAACAUUGUCGUUUAAUGUUGGAGAACGUAACGAAAUUUUUGGUGAUGUUUUGGAACUUGAUGUUUAUCAUGAUAUGCAACACCGUCCAACCCGGAGAGAAAACUCGCUGGGUCAAGUUCGACUUAGCUCGACCCAGUUUGUGAAAAAAGGUGAAGAAGCUUUGAUUUAUUAUGAGUUGAAGAAGAAAAGUUUGUUCAAUAUGGUUCGAGGAAAAGUUGGCUUGAAAAUUUACUAUGUUGAUGAAGAAAUUCCUCCUCGACCAUCGGCACCUGUGCCGGAAAAUCCACCGACACCAUCGUCUGAGCCACCUUCCGUAAAAGUAGAAGAAUCGCCACCACCGCCAUCUGAGCCGGAAAAAGUUGAACCACCACCGCCAUCUGAAGCUGGACCCCAACCUAAGGCUGAAGAGGUGAACAAGAACCUAAGGUUAAAACGGAACCUGUUCUUGAACAAGUUCCGGUUCAGGAAGAAGUUGUAGAAAAUUACCAUGAAAAGUAAAAAAUUGCGACAAAAACAAGUGGUGAAAAAAAAUUAAAUUCCUCUCUAAUUUUGCAACACUAACGUACGAAUGUGAUUUUUCUUUGCAAUUUGUAUCUAAUGUUGCAUAACUGAAAUUAAACAACUCAUUAAAAAGCGCACGUGAUAACUUGUAUAGCUAAAACACAUGUGAAUAUAACUAAGAUAUCACAUGCAAUUUUUUGAGUCAUUUUAUCUUAGCCCUUUGUUUUAAUCCAACGACCACCAUUCAAACCUCUUAUCUCUUACAAUAAGUCAUCUCUCACCAUUUUAUAUAUGUAUGUAUGUAUGUAUUUAUAUCAUGAAGACAACUCCAAUCAUAGUAUUUUACAAUCUCAUUUAUCAUAUAUAACAUUUUUCAGUUUCUUAUUCUUCUCUUUUUCUUUACUUUUUAUAUGUUUAUUCUUUAUACUACUCCCACAUUCAUGAAAUGUAAUAAAUGAAUGUUUAAACAGUUUCGUUUCAACAAUACACUAACUAAUACAUGAAUAACAAUUUUUGAGAGAAUAACAAUGACAACCCACUUAGGUACGUCUGGUAGUGUUGAUUUGAGAAAUUGGAGUGUACUCGUCCUCAAUGUUUCAUGUUUGAUUCUUACAUAUGCUAAUUUGAAUGAGCUAAUUUAACUUCUAAAAAAAUAUGCGGAUAGAUUAAAUACAAAACAACCAAAUAAAUUGUGUAGUUUUUCAUUUAUGCACAUUUUAUAACUUAUAUAUUAAUUUUAGAAGCAAAUAGAAAUAUUUAUUGAGUAUCUACGUUGAUAUGCCUUGUUUCUCAGAUAAAGGUGAACAUGUAAAUAUUUUUGUGGUGAGACAUCUGAUAUUUUAUAUGUUAUUAUUUGGGGAUAAUUAAAUUAUAUUCUCACAUUUUGUUGUGUGAAAAUUACAUGAAUAUUCCUUACUCUUGAUUGACAUUUAUGAGAAAUUUCACCCUCUCAAAUUUGAGAUUGAUGUGUUAGUGAGGAAUUUUACAUCCCUAAUUAACUUAUAAAUAUUAUAUUAUUUUGGGAUAUAAAUAUAAUUUAUCUUGUAUCCAAAAUAUUCGAAAGAUUUGAUUUAUUUCAUACCCUUAAAAUUUGAGAUUUAAAUUAUUUUGAAAUCUCUAAAUAUUUGAUGCAAAUUGAUAUGAGUAUUAUACACUUUUAAAUCAUAUAAUCUCUAAUUUUCAGUUAUCUGAAAAAUAUUUUUUAAAGUACUAGCAUUUAGGUAAAGUGUUAUAAUUGUGAAAAAUUUUAGACUCAAACUUAUUAUUUUGAGAUUUGAUGAUACCCUCAAAACUAUAUGUCCUGUCAAUAAUAACUUGACUAUUAUACUAUAUAUAUUCUUAUUUAUGGGUUUCAAAAUUUUGUCAAAUCUUGAAAAGAUCAAAUAUAAACUAAAUUGAGAAUAAUCUCUUUUAAAUCUAUAUAUUCUCAAUAUUUGAGCCUACAUUAUUUUAAAAUUUCUCAUUUAUAUUAGUAACACUAACUAUCUAAUAAAUUAAAAUAUUACUAUUGUGAAUUAUAGAAGGCUCAAUUCUAUUAAUUCUAAUGCCAUAUAUAUUGAAUUUAAUAUAUUAUUUCCUUCAUAUUUUCUUAGCAUAAAGAUCAAAAAUUUACUAAUUGAUCAUUUUUGUGGCGACAUAUUUAAACUAAGACACUUGUCUUUGAUUCUUGUCACAAAUUGUUUUGAAGGGUCCUCAUAAUAUUUUUGUUUUCAAAAUGAGUACAUUGAGUAAUAUAUAUAUAUAUAUAUAUAUAUAUAUAUAUAUAUAUAUAUAUAUAUAUAUAUGUCAUUUAUAUUAAUUAAAUCUAAAAUCGGCAUAUUUCUCUUUAAUAUACAUUAUACUUUCUACUAUACUCUCUGAUCUAGACCCGUAAUUUAUUAUUCUAAAUUUUGUGAUAAAUAAUGCUAACUCUUUAAUUAUGUGUCUUUUCACAAUUAAAUAUUUGGAUCAAGAUAAUAUUAAACUAUAUAUAAUGCAUUGUUGCAUUUUUUAUGCUAAAUAUGCAUUGUUGCAUUUUUUAUGCUAAAAUUCUAAUUAUGAAUUAAAAUUUGCACACCUCUUUGUUGUUUAUCCGUUAAAUUUAUCAAAACAACAUAUGAAGAAUUCAUGCAAUUUUAAAUCAUCCUUACAACUGAACACUUAUAUAAAUCAUAAUGAGUUAUAAUUAGAGUCUCAUAUAUAUUUAAUUAUAAUGACUUAUUCAUGAUUAUUUUGAGAUGACUAUAUUAUAAGAUAUUCUCGUUAAGUCAUCAAAAGUCAUUGGCUCUAAGCAUAAGGAUGAAUGUCACACACUACGAGGUAAGUUGUGUUUUAAUUAUUUUUAUCAUCUUGUGACUUAUCCUAUAUUAUUGCACAUAUGAAAAUAUUUAUUCAUUCUUCUCUUUUGUUGUGCAAUUAUGAUAUCCUAUAUAGAAGUGAAAUUCUUUUUUCAAAAUAUUCUAAAUAGAACUCUAUAAUUCUUAUAUAUUUUACUAUAAUACUCCAUUUGUAUUUAUAUUCUAAUUUUAAUCUAUAGUGAGAGUACUUAAAAUUUUAUUCUAAGAGUUCUAUUCGGGAUAAAAUAGAAAAUGAUUUGACACACUUGUAUUCUAAAUAAUAACUUUUGUUAGUAUACUAUUUCAUAUAGAUAAAUUCUAAAGUCAUAUUUAUGAUGUGCUAAUUUAAAAUAUUGUUAAGCACAUUUUUCUAUUAUUUGAAUAUGAUCAAAGUUGAGUAAAUUAUGUACAAUUGUUUAUGCAUGAUAUUAUUUUAUCAUAUUCUCUUAAGCAUAAACAUUACUGAUUUGUAUAAUUGUAAUCUCACCUAUCGUGGAUACUCUUAUGCAAAUUUUGUUAAAUAAAUUACUGUUAUAUUGGUGACAGUCAUACUCUAUCGGUGUGUUGUUAUUAAUAUAAUUGUUAUUGUUCAAUGUACCUUAAUUUUUAUACUUAUGUCAAAUAUAAUUAGAGUACCCUAUCAAUAUUUAAAUUUUUUGAGACAUAAAAAUUGUACAUUGUGAUGAUAUAGUUCUUACUUAUUAUCCUUAAGGUCCUUGAGUGAGAUUACAAUAAAUAAGUUACUCUAUUAAAAGACAUGUAGAAAAUUGUAUAAAUUUUGCAAUCCAAUAUUAUUAUAUUUUGAAUUAAAAUUCUACCUAAAUGUGAUUUUUUAUAUAUACAAAUAUUUUGGAUUGCUACUAUCCCUUUGUUAUAUGAGUGACGGACAUACCCUAUCGGUGUGACGUUACUUAACAUAUCAUUUUGUGAUAGAGAAGUAGUUGAAUAUCUUAUUUAAAAUAUCUUUAAUUCAACUAUCAUUGUCUAUUCUCUAUCAAGUGGGAGAAUCAUUGCUAUGUAUUGUGUAACGUGAUGGGCAUACCCUAUCGGUAUGACAUUACUUAACAUAAUCAUCUUUUUAUGAGUAAGAAAAAUACCUUAUUAGUUUAACUAUUAUUCUCCACUAAGUGGAGAACAUAUAAUUCUUCAACCGGCUAGGAAAAUUCUACAUAUCAAUUAACUAUAUCUCAUGAACAAAUAUAUUAAUUUGUUUCAUAACUCUAGAUAUAAAAUUAUUGUAGAGACUUAUAUUGAGGAUAUUAAUUAUAUUCUUUUCUCAUAAACUAUUAUACACUUCCAUAUCCUUUUAAAUUAUUAUAAAAUUAUUUUGUAAAAGCAAUAUGUCAAAAUCACAAAGUUCUUAACUACUCUAUUGAGAAAGAAAAAAAAAUAUUUAUACCAUUAUUCUAAAUAAUUAUAAAUGGUAUAUAUGGGACAUUAAAUUUUACCAUUUUACUAUAUUUUGACAUAUUUUAUAUUAUUGCUAUUAUUUAAUACUUAUGGAAGCUUAUGACUAUUUUCUCUUAUAUCCUCAAUAAUAAUAAAAUAUAAGUCUAGUGCAUUUCCGCUGCGUGUAACCUAAUCUUUUCUCAAAUGUGUGUAAUUAUAAGUGUAGCAUUUGAGUUUUGAGUGAGUUACUACAAUUGUGAAUAGAGUCUCCUAUCCUAUUUUAUAAUACUAGAGACUUAUCUCACUCAUAUGAUGAUAAACCUUUUAUAUAAUCAUCAUACUCUGUCAUAUAAAUGUUACUAUAUUUAUAAAAUUCUUUGGAAUUUUAAUUGUGAAAGGAGAUAUUGUGUUAUAAAAUUCUUAAAUGAAAAUUUACAUUCUCCUUAAAUCUAAAUGCAGAAUAUGUGGUUAACUAAGAAACUCAAUUCUUGAUAAUAUCUGCCAUUGAUAAAUUAUACAUUCUAUGAGUUUCAUACUAUCAUUAAGUUACCACUUUUGUUAAUAAUUAUGUUAUACUCAUGUGCAAAAUAUGUGGUUGAGUUCAUGAAACUCUACUAGUUAAAGUUACAUAACCACUUAUGUUGAUAAUCUUGCACUAAUAAUUAAGUAUCCCACUGUUGAAUAUUACAUUAUUAUAAUAUUUUUAUAUCAAUGAUCACUAAUGUGAAUCCCACUUACUCUUGUUUAUAUAUAUGUGGGAUCAGUGGGAGUGUGUACACAACACUAUGUAUUAUGAGCUCAAAUGAGAAAUCUCACUCUUGUUUAUACAUAUGUGAGAUCAAGAGAAAUGUGUACACAAUAUUAUUCUCAUCGUUGCCAUAUACUCUUGUGCACACUAUAAAAUAUGGCAUAGCUUAAGAGACUUUUAAACUUUAGUCUCAUUCUAUUAUAUUGAGAUAUAUAUUAAAAUUCUUUUAAUAUCUCAAUAAGCAUCAUAAUUGAAUGCUUAAGUCAAUUUUGUUGGAAUAUGCACAAUAAUCUCUCAGUAUGCAAAUAUAUAUUGUGCUUCUCUUUUACCAACAUUCCACAUUUUAUGAGGUUGUAAAUAAUAAGUACAAUGUAUAAUAUCAAUACUCCUAUCGAGUAUGAUAUUGUGUUCUUGUAGUACUUAUAAUUUGAGAUAAUCAUAAAUGUUCGUUCAUUAUUGACAUUUUAGUGGCCACAUUAAUCCACAUCCUUUUUCUUUAAACUAAGUGUUUAUGUCAAUCAAUUUUGGAGAUUCUUGAAUUUCCUAUUUCUUUAUGGAUUUUCAUAGUCACAUUUUUCUAAAACGUGGAUUAAUUGAAUGUCGUAGAACAUUUAUCGAUUUAGACUAAAUGUAAUUACUCUCUCUUUAUAGGCUAUCCCUAUAAGUAAUUAUUAUUCUUAUAUCUUUGUGGAUAUAUGACUUUUAUAGAAUUGAAAACUCAUUGGCAGAACCACUAACCACAAACUUAUAUAAAUGAGUAUUGUAACUCAUAAUGAUUUGAUUAAGACUAUGAUAUUUUGGGUUAGUGGGAGUUUGUUAUAGCAUUUUUUUAAAAUGUUUCGGUCAUUCUUUAUUGACACAUUCUUUUAAUUCAAGUAUGUCACUAUAAAUUCAUCAUUUGUUAGAAAAUGGAGUCUUUGACCUGGAUGAUUUGUUUUCCCUAUCGGAUUCAAUUUCUGCAGUAUUAAAGUUUACUUCUCUUUCGAAUUAGUGCUUUGACCAUACAUAUAUUUUAAAGUUUAAACUUUAUAUUCUUUUAGUAAUUGAGUAUUGUCAUCCAAGUGGGAGAUUGUUGGAUUAAUUAUUUAAUUAAUCAAUUAUAGAUUGACAAUAAUCAAUUAUUAUAAAUUAAUGUUAUAAUUUAUAAUAUGGUCUAUUGUAUUAAACAUUCAUUAGUUGAUGAAUAUGUAUGAUUGGGCUAUUCUAACUAAAUGGACCGUGAUGGGUUGAACCAUUUAGCUAAGCCCAAUGAGAGGUCCCUGCCCUCAGCCGUUUAGCUAUUUAAACGUUAUCCCAUCAGACGGUUAAACUAUUCUUCUGAACAUUCUGGUGCUAAACGGAAUGAGGGUAGUCAUCCCUCUCAUCCUUCAUGAACCUAAACAUACAAGGUACAUAAUUUCUUAUUCCUUCUGUGAUACUGAUACUGAUAUGCUAUAACUUGUAUCUACUGAUCCAUGGCUGAAUCCUAAAACUUUUAUCAACAUCAUCCUCUUGCCUAAUAUUUUUUUUAAAAAAAUAAUAUAUGUUUUUCAAUUUAUUUUUAUCAAAUUAAUAGUGAUGAUUCUUUUGCAAAGUAAAACUUCUUGGAUCUUUGAUUAUCUUUGUAACAUCUCGAAAUUCAUAGCUCAGCUGGUUUUGACAAUGCAUAAUAUAUGUAAGGUUUGGGGUUCGAACUCCGGCCACCAAAAAAAAAAAAUUUCCUCAAAUUAUCUUCUUUUAUUUUUUUUAAAAACCUAAACUCUUGCCCUUUUAUUUUCUCGAUUCUUAGUUUUGUUUCACAGACAAAUCUUUCAAAAUCAAAUUGUACAUUAUGUUAUGGAGGUUACAUGAUUCCAAUGUUUGAGAUGUUGAGAACUUUCAUUAUGAAUAUGGAUAUGUGGCAAUAUCAGAUACACACAUACAUUCACUUAUACAUCCACUUACAUACAUUCGCUUAGAAUAAUUUUUUUUUUUUUUUUGUUACAUUAUUAUUAAGAGAAAGCACAAUAAAGCAUAUAACAACUUUUCUUGUUGAGAAAAAAUAGCUCCAUACUGAAAAUAUCUUUAUAGGAGAGGUGUUGAAGAUCACACUAUCUGAAAACUUGUGGGGGUCCUCCUUUCCCAAUACAAGAGCAUUAACUUUACAAGCAAAAGAUGAGACAGGAAAAUGACUGGCUGAAAGAAAAGGUUAGUAAAUUUCUUUCAUUGAUUAUAUUUUAAUUUUAAUAAAAUAUCGAUUAUAACACACACACACAUGGUUCUUUCUUGCACGACAAUCCUCACCGGCCAACCUCUCACUAGUUAACUCCAAUACAAUAAUAAAAUUAUACUUCUUACUUUUUAUGAAAAGAUGACAAAAUAUAAAAUUGAAUGAUUGUGUAAAACAUAAUUAUUUUAUUGUUGUAUAAUUAUUAAACUCAUUCAUAACAACGAGUAAAAGAUUGAUAACUUACAACAUUAAUGUAUGAAUCUAUAGUAUAGAAACAACAGAUUGUGAUUUUUCUAAUUGCAUCUAAUGUUGCAUAACUGAAAUUAAACGACUCAUUAAAAAGCGCACGUGAUAACUUGCAUAACUAAAACGCGUGUGAAUAUAAAUGAUGGAGAAAUGGCUCGAAAAUACGUUGUACGGAAAUAAGGAGAAAAGAAAAAACUUGAUAAGUUGCUUAGUUUUGGUGUGCUUUGAGACACAAACGCUCCUUAUAAGGGACUUUAGCGUUUUUCAAUUCACACUUACUAGUAUAUUCUACUAUCCAACGUGGGACUCUAGAGUUUAUUUUUCUUUCAAUCCAUACACUCUAUGUUUCACACUAAUUACAAUUUAAUGGAUGAUUAAAAAAUAUAAAAAAGUAUCACAACUCAUUAAAUAUUAAUUGAACAUAGUAAAUCAAUAUUUUAUUAAUACGGGCUUAAAUUUGCUACUAAUUAACUACUAAAUGAUACUCUCAAAUGUUACUGAAAUCAUUUAGUAACACGGGUUUUGGCUUUACCUAACAUUUGUCAAAUGAUACAAGAUCUAAAUAGUAAUAUUUGUUUUUGAUUUAAUUAAGUUAUUAUCUAUGUAUAUGUUGUUGGAAUUUUAGUUUAUAAUUUAUUUUCUUGACUAAUAAAGCCACGUUUUUAUAUAAAUUGAUUUAUUCUCUUGACUAAUAAAGCCACGUUUUUUCUACUCCUAAUUUAACCGUUACAAGCUUUACUAAAUGUCAUUUAUUCUCGGUUACUCUCCUACUUUUUCGGUUUCAAUUUUCCACAUUAAUCGGAAUUAAUUUGUACGUGUUUACAUAAUAUAAAUAAGUGGGUUUGGGGCGCAGGAAGAGAAGAUAGAACAUAUGCACAUAUAUAUGUUGCUGAAGAAUAAUAGCUACUUCAAUCUCUCUUCUUUUUCAUUCACGUAUCAAAUAAUAAUAACUAAAAUAUAGUUCCCUUUAACAUCCAAGAGUUAAAGUUUAUGAAUGCCUUUAGGGCAUUGUUUAGUAACUUUAAAUAGUAAAUUUUUGUUAAAGUUUAUGAAAUCAAUAUAUUAGAAAUUUGAGUUUUUUAUUUUUUUAAAGAAUAAUUUCUUUACUAUGGUAUUGUGCAGUAAAUGGACGGUGCUAGAGUUUCAAGAUUAAAUUGAAUUAAAUGGGUGGUGCAAACUCUUAGAGGAAAACUUAACCACUACUUAAUACAUCUUCAGCUUGGCUCUUUUCUUUCAACACGAUACAACAUCUUCAGCUUUGUUCACCUACUUCUCCUUCACAGCUCUUGUACACGGUGAGCAUUCACAAUUGUUCUAGUAUUUAUUUGAUGUUCAUCUAGAAAUGUUCUAUGUGAAUUUUCAUUUUAGAAAAAACAUUGCAUCUAAAAAUUUAUGUAUCUGUUUUUAUUUUCAUUAGUCUUUCGUUCUGAGAUUUGGACCAUUUUUGCUGAUGUAAUUUCGUUUCAUUUUGAGUAAAUAUUUUCUCUGUAAUUUUGGUUUCUACAAAUAUAUUUAGUAUAACUUUUUAUGAAAUUUAGUAUUAUUUGGUUAUAUGUUUAAAAAAUUUAGCCUCACUAAUAUUUUAGAUCCAGACCCAUCUUUGUUCAUAAACCUAAGAAACACAAUAUCGAUAUGCAUGUAUGUUGAACUAUUUGGAAAGAUCCACAAUAUCAAAUAGAAUUGAAUUGUUUAACCAACAUUAUGAAUUCAUCAAGUGAUUUGAAGAUUAAUAUAUUUUGCAAUAUAACUUAUAAUAAUCGACAUUAGAAUUUCUAAAGUAAACGUACAUUGAACCUAUAUGAAGUUUUAUGAUAUGUGUAAAUAUUACAUUUCUUGUAUUCAUGCAAAUGUAUAGAGUACAUUUCAUGUG